CAGUAGCCACGGUAAUACGUAGGUGGCAAGCGUUGUCCGGAAUUAUUGGGCGUAAAGGGCUCGCAGGCGGUUUCUUAAGUCUGAUGUGAAAGCCCCCGGCUCAACCGGGGAGGGUCAUUGGAAACUGGGAAACUUGAGUGCAGAAGAGGAGAGUGGAAUUCCACGUGUAGCGGUGAAAUGCGUAGAGAUGUGGAGGAACACCAGUGGCGAAGGCGACUCUCUGGUCUGUAACUGACGCUGAGGAGCGAGAGCGUGGGGAGCGAACAGGAUUAGAUACCCCUGUAGUCCCUGUCUCUUAUAC
Molecule: ribosomal RNA, 301 nt
Filed under: uncultured bacterium
Lineage: Bacteria
Description: partial 16S ribosomal RNA
Rfam family: Bacterial small subunit ribosomal RNA
Source: RNAcentral